Fukomys damarensis (Damara mole-rat) is the source of this 1532-nucleotide long non-coding RNA. RefSeq lists it as uncharacterized. The record is from RefSeq and is a predicted model, not a curated record. The transcript has 4 exons. NCBI's taxonomy places the organism in Eukaryota, Metazoa, Chordata, Mammalia, Rodentia, Bathyergidae.
UCUGUUAAUUAUGAUAAGGUGAGCAGGGUCGUACAGGGCAAAGAAGAAAAUCCAGCUGUCUUCUAUUAGUAGAAGUCUUUUGUAAAUAUACAAACAGAUCCAUCUUCCAGGGAGGAACAGGUACUGGUGGCCCAUCAUUUCACUUGCCAAUCAGCCCCAGAUAUUUGGCAUAGAUUACAAAAACUCCCGAUGGGUCCGCAGAUACCUCUGAGCCAAUUGCUGGACAUGGUCUUUCCUGUGCUCAACAACUGGGAUCCAGGUGAGGGUGAAAAGAGAAGGGCUAAAAUUAUAGAUGUGGCAGCUGGCAAUGCUUUAAAUACAGCCUAGUUGGCUAAAGGAAAACCCAGGGACAACAGAGGAAAGAGUUCCUGUUUUAAAUGAAAGAAGGAAAAAGAGUAAUAAUAAAUGCAAGAUGACUAGAUGCUGCACCAAGCUUUUGCCAAGGCCCUGCUCCAAGUAUCAGCCGGCCAAUGUGCCUGACCCACAGCGCGGACUGUUGACUGUCCCCAGCCCAGAGAGAGGCCAGGUGAGCCAAAAGCCUCAUCUUGUGCUCUGAUGAAGACCGAAGGGGCCUGGGACAACCUGCAAUGUGCCUGUCCAUUGAUGUUACCAUCUCCUGUGAGGGACACGAGGUGACCCUGAAUGUCAUAUACUCCUGAGGAGGAAGAGAUUUUAAACAAAGAACAAUCAAAGAUAAUUCAAAAGAAGUGUGAUAAGAGGAAGAAGAAUACCAAAAUCAGCAGUUCCAGCAGGGCAAGCUCCUUGCCUGCAUGACAUCAAGAAUGGACCCGUGUGGCCAAGCUGAUGGCUUAGACAGCAAGAAGCUGGAGUUCUAUCUGAGGAAAGUCAAGGCCCAGAAAGGCACAUAAGUCCUCUCCCCUGGCAUUGCUCAUGCAAUAAAGGGCCACUCUUUCCAGCUCUGAGACGGACAACUUGUGUGCAGAGCUGGGCAAUCUCCAGGCUUGCUGUAAUUUUCCUGGGAAAGACAGUCCUCUGAAACAGGUCCUGCCAGCAAAAGGGAGAGAGCCUCAGAGAAGAAGGAGGGGAGACCAAAGGCUGCUGGAGUAUGGGGGUGGAGAUGAAGACGGAGGCAGGAGACAAAGGUGCAGCCACUGUCCUGCAUCUGUCGCCAGCCUUUGUUAGAGGUGCACUCUCAAUGGUCAUCAGAGACGACUAGCAAGUGGCCGCCUUGCAGUCUUCAGGCAGCCCCGACACUGCUGAUUGCUCCCCACUCCGGAAGUGAAAGCUCUUGAAGUUCUGCUCUUUGCCCCUGUGUGUCCCUCUAAAUCCCAGCCUUGUGGCUUUGUUCACACCGCUAUCCUCCCGCCUUCGAUCCUUUCAUUUCCAUCUCCUAUGUAAACUCACUUUUUUUUCACAUUUCAUUUUAUUCAUUUCUUUAAAUGCCAGGGGUUGAACCUAGGGGCUUCUCCCCGAGGUAUCUCCCCAGCGUUUUUACUUUUAGGUUUUACAUUUUGAGAUGGGGACUCACCAAGUCACUAAGUCGCCUAGACUAGGCUUGAAUUUGCAGUCCU